This 288-nucleotide ribosomal RNA is filed under the name uncultured bacterium. RNAcentral describes it as "partial 16S ribosomal RNA". It matches the Rfam family "Bacterial small subunit ribosomal RNA", at positions 775 to 1067 of the family's 1533-position model. The record is from RNAcentral.
GGAUUAGAUACCCUGGUAGUCCAUGCUGUAAACGAUGAAUACUCGAUGUUGGCGAUACACUGUCAGCGUUCAAGCGAAAGCAUUAAGUAUUCCACCUGGGGAGUACGAUCGCAAGGUUGAAACUCAAAGGAAUUGACGGGGGCCCGCACAAGCGGUGGAGCAUGUGGUUUAAUUCGAUGGUACGCGAGGAACCUUACCAGGGCUUAAAUGGUAUUGGACCGUUGCCGAAAGGUGACUUUCUUUUAGACUAGUAUCAAGGUGCUGCAUGGCUGUCGUCAGCUCGUGCUG